Long non-coding RNA from Mytilus californianus (California mussel), 2138 nucleotides. RefSeq lists it as uncharacterized. The transcript has 3 exons. Lineage: Eukaryota; Metazoa; Mollusca; Bivalvia; Mytilida; Mytilidae. The record is from RefSeq and is a predicted model, not a curated record.
ACCUCAUUUUCAUGGUUCAGUGACUACUUGAAAAAAAAGUUCAGAUUUUUUGUAAUGUUAAAUUCUCUCUUAUUAUAAGUAAUAGGAUAACUAUAUUUGGUAUGUGCGUACCUUGCAAGGUCCUCAUGCCCGUCAGACAGUUUUCACUUGACCUCGACCUCAUUUCAUGGAUCAGUGAACAAGGUUAAGUUUUCGUGGUCAAGUCCAUAUCUCAGAUACUAUAAGCAAUAGGUCUAGUAUAUUCGGUGUAUGGAAGGACUGUAAGGUGUACAUGUCCAACUGGCAGGUGUCAUCUGACCUUGACCUCGUUUUCAUGGUUCAGUGGUUAUAGUUAAGUUUUUGUGUUUUGGUCUGUUUUUCUUAUACUGUAUGCAAUAGGUCUACUAUAUUUGGUGUAUGGAAGGAUUGUAAGGUGUGCAUGUCUAGCUGGCAGGUGUCAUCUGACCUUGACCUCAUUUUCAUGGUUCAGUGGUUAUAGUUGAGUUUUUGUGUUUUGGUCUGUUUUUCUUAUACUGUAUGCAAUAGGUCUACUAUAUUUGGUGUAUGGAAGGAUUGUAAGGUGUACAUGUCUAGCUGGCAGGUGUCAUCUGACCUUGACCUCAUUUUCAUGGUUCAGUGGUUAUAGUUGAGUUUUUGUGUUUUGGUCUGUUUUUCUUAUACUGUAUGCAAUAGGUCUACUAUAUUUGGUGUAUGGAAGGAUUGUAAGGUGUACAUGUCUAGCUGGCAGGUGUCAUCUGACCUUGACCUCAUUUUCAUGGUUCAGUGGUUAUAGUUGAGUUUUUGUGUUUUGGUCUGUUUUUCUUAUACUGUAUGCAAUAGGUCUACAAUAUUUGGUGUAUGGAAUGAUUGUAAGGUGUACAUGUCUAGCUGGCAGGUGUCAUCUGACCUUGACCUCAUUUUCAUGGUUCAGUGGUCAAAGUUAAGUUUUUGAGUUUUGGUCUUUUUUUCUAAUACUGCAUGCAAUAGGUCUACUAUAUUUGGUGUAUGGAAUGAUUGUAAGGUGUACAUGUCUAGCUGGCAGGUGUCAUCUGACCUUGACCUCAUUUUCAUGGUUCAGUGGUCAAAGUUAAGUUUUUGAGUUUUGGUCUUUCUUUCUAAUACUGCAUGCAAUAGGUCAGCUAUAUUUGGUGUAUGGAAUGAUUGUAAGGUGUACAUGUCUAGCUGGCAGGUGUCAUCUUACCUUGACCUCAUUUUCAUGGUUCAGUGGUCAAAGUUAAAGUUUUUGAGUUUUGGUCUUUUUUUCUAAUACUAUAUGCAAUAGUUCAACUAUAUUUGGUGUAUGGAAAUAUUUUAUGAUCUAUAUGUCAGUUACGCAGGUUUUAUUUGACCUUGACCUCAUUUUCAAGGUUCAUUGCUCAGUGUUAAGUUUUUGUGUUUUCGUCUGUUUUUCUUAAACUAUAAGCAAUAGGUCAACUAUAUUUGUUGUAAGGAAGAAUUGUUAGCUGUACAUGCCUGCCUAGCAUGGUUCAUCUGACCUUGACCUCAUUUUCAUGGUUCAUUGGUCAAUGUUUAGUUUACUUGGUUAAUGUUAAGUUUAUGUGACAGUUGUAAUAAAGCUUUAUAUUUAGGACUAUCAACAUAAUAUCAAUGAUUAGUAAAGAAGGCGAGACAUUUCAGCGUGUGCACUCUUGUUGUGUUUUGGUCUGUUUUUCUUAUACUGUAUGCAAUAGGUCUACUAUAUUUGGUGUAUGGAAUGAUUGUAAGGUGUACAUGUCCAACUGGCAGGUGUCAUCUGACUUUGACCUUAUUUUCAUGGUUCAGUGGUCAAAGUUAAGUUUUUGAGUUUUGGUCUUUUUUCUUAUACUAUAUGCAAUAAGUCAACUAUAUUUGGUGUAUGGAAAUAUUCUAUGAUGUACAUGUCAGUCUCGCAGGUUUUAUUUGACCUUGACCUCAUUUUCACGGUUCAUUGCUCAGUGUUAAGUUUAUAUGUUUCAGUCUGUUUUUCUUAAACUAUAAGCAAUAGGUCAGCUAUAUUUGUUGUAUGGAAGGAUUGUAAUCUGUUCAUGUCUGCCUGGCAUGGUUCAUCUGACUUUGACCUCAUUUUCACGAUUCAUUGGUCAAUGUUUAGUUUUCUUGGUUAAGUCUGUUUCUUAGAAACUAUAAGCAAUAGGUCAACUAUAUUUAGUGUAUUGAAUGAU